CCUUCCUCUAGUGUGGUCUGCAGGCUGCCCUCUGAACUGCCUGUCGCCAGGGAGGAGUCACUGUGGGACGGGUGCUGGACAGAGAGGAGACAACCAGAUUUUUCCUUGUGAAAUUUACUCACAUUUUACGGCAAAAAGCAGCUGAGACAGGAAGUAGCAUGGUUUGUUUCAUGCAGAAGCCAACAGAAGGGAGGUGUUUGAUUAAAUGACAAAUGAGAUCCUAGCUUCAAGUAUAUUUUCUCACACUCGGACAUCAAUGAAGGGUGACACACAUGAACCAAUUCAUCUGUCCAUGAUACCUGAGAGCUCAGGGGCCUGCUGUUGGCUCCGGGUGAGCGGAG
Thunnus maccoyii (southern bluefin tuna) is the source of this 341-nucleotide long non-coding RNA. RefSeq lists it as uncharacterized. The record is from RefSeq and is a predicted model, not a curated record. The transcript is spliced from 4 exons. NCBI's taxonomy places the organism in Eukaryota, Metazoa, Chordata, Actinopteri, Scombriformes, Scombridae.